RNA transcript from Leptopilina boulardi, 1556 nucleotides. RefSeq lists it as uncharacterized. Lineage: Eukaryota; Metazoa; Arthropoda; Insecta; Hymenoptera; Figitidae. The record is from RefSeq and is a predicted model, not a curated record. The transcript is spliced from 9 exons.
UUGAAUUAAAUAAAUUUUUUGUUCAGUGUAGUAAAAUUUUAUUGGAAUAAGAAAAUAUUGAAUUAAAUACGGGAUUUUUUUGAGUCAAUAUACUGCAUUUCUCUUUCUUUCAUCAUUUAUCUUUCUUAUUCUAUUUAAUUUUGUAUUUUUAUAAAAAAUAGUUUUGUUUUUUCCUAUAGAUGUCCGGAACUCGAAGGAAGCAGAAGGAAUUUUAGAAAAUAUCUGGUACAGCUAAACUUUUAAUGCUCUGAGAAAGAAAUCAAAUGCCUUACACUUGGUGAUGGAUAAAACACGAUCAGAGAAAGACACCGAAGGCAAUAUCCUUGGUGAUGGACAAAACACUCAAACUUCUAUUACCGGCCGUUGUGCACCUGAAGUUACCUAGUACCUUUUAUACGCACCCUUAGGACAAUCGAGAAAACAUCUUUAAAGUCUUGGAAAAAAAAAUUUCAUGUGACACUUAUUUCAAAGAAAAAGAUAAAAGAAACUUUGAAUUUCUCUGCAUGUGGUCAUGAAGAAAAAGGAGUAAAAUGGGGGGUAAAUGGACACAGAGAGAAAAAUAAGGAUCGGAAGGAUGCUGAUGUUCCAGAUUGUAUCCUGUUAUCAUUUGUAAUUGGAAAUUCGUGAUCGGUAUACGAUAUGUAUAAUUUCAUUCUGAUGACAAUUGGGAGUUUCACCGCACUAAAUUUGGAUGCUACUUUCCAUCAAAGAGUAUGCUGAGCGAUCUACCACGCACGCACACGCCGCGCUUAACCAUGCCUGCUCUUCAAAAGGGUCUGAAAAAGGGAUGUUAGUGAAAAAGAAAGAAAAAAACGAAAAAAGGAAUUUUACAAGAUACUGGGAAUUAAGGUCCUAUCAAGGAACAAGUGUCCUUCUACAAAAUUUUGGUCUUCAAUUUCAACUUAUCUUGAGGUAAUUGCAUUGGCUAUUCUUUCUUUUUAUUUUUAUCGAAACUAUUGUGAAUAUAUUAUUUUUCAUGAAUGAUAAAAUUGAAAUAUGUUUUUUUGUCAAAAUUCGUAAUCUACGACCCCAAAAAUCUCCAAAGUUUUAAGCCAAUUUAACCCACGAAACAAAAAAUUGGUCUUAAUUUUUAAAUUCUAAAAACAUUUUUCGUUAUGCGGAAAAAAAAAAUUUGCCUUUGAUUUUUUUAUUUUUAUUUUUGGUGACAAAUAUAUUUCUAAUUUAAAAAACUAUUUUUUCAUUUUAAAAAACUAUAUUUCUAUUUAAAAAUAUGUCUAAGAUAAAAAAAAACGUUUCAAAUUAUUUUAAUAGACGUAAAACGAUUUUUCUAUAUUUUUAAAUAGAAAUUUAUUAUUUUUAAAUAGAAAUAUAUUAUUUUUAAAUAAAAAUAUAUUAUUUUUGAAUAGAAAUAUAUUAUUAAAAAAAAAAAUUAUAUUUGAAUAGCGCGCCAUAAGUUCCACUUAUUAAAAAAGACGACACACUUCGGUGAUUCCCCGGCGUUUAAAAAUUAUUAAAUUUAUUGAUCUUUAUUUUUAUUUUGCCAAAUAUAUUUAUAUAUAUUUUUAUAAAUUUAAUUUUGAAUAUACUGAACCAUU